This 73-nucleotide transfer RNA is filed under the name Flavobacterium sp. CS20. It matches the Rfam family "tRNA". From Rfam's summary of the family: Transfer RNA (tRNA) molecules are approximately 80 nucleotides in length. Their secondary structure includes four short double-helical elements and three loops (D, anti-codon, and T loops). The record is from Rfam by way of RNAcentral. Lineage: Bacteria; Pseudomonadati; Bacteroidota; Flavobacteriia; Flavobacteriales; Flavobacteriaceae. RNAcentral also lists the same sequence under 2 other names.
GAUCUGGUAGCUCAGUUGGUAGAGCAUCUCCCUUUUAAGGAGAGGGUCAUGGGUUCGAGCCCCAUCCAGAUCA